RNAcentral lists this ribosomal RNA (468 nucleotides) under uncultured bacterium. Its description in RNAcentral is "partial 16S ribosomal RNA". It matches the Rfam family "Bacterial small subunit ribosomal RNA", at positions 28 to 507 of the family's 1533-position model. The record is from RNAcentral.
GACGAACGCUGGCGGCGUGCUUAACACAUGCAAGUCGAACGGAAAGGCCCUGCUUUUGUGGGGUGCUCGAGUGGCGAACGGGUGAGUAACACGUGAGUAACCUGCCCUUGACUUUGGGAUAACUUCAGGAAACUGGGGCUAAUACCGGAUAGGAGCUCCUGCUGCAUGGUGGGGGUUGGAAAGUUUCGGCGGUUGGGGAUGGACUCGCGGCUUAUCAGCUUGUUGGUGGGGUAGUGGCUUACCAAGGCUUUGACGGGUAGCCGGCCUGAGAGGGUGACCGGCCACAUUGGGACUGAGAUACGGCCCAGACUCCUACGGGAGGCAGCAGUGGGGAAUAUUGCACAAUGGGCGGAAGCCUAAUGCAGCAACGCCGCGUGCGGGAUGACGGCCUUCGGGUUGUAAACCGCUUUCGCCUGUGACGAAGCGUGAGUGACGGUAAUGGGUAAAGAAGCGCCGGCUAACUACGUG